This is a long non-coding RNA of Gallus gallus (chicken), 816 nucleotides long. The record is from Ensembl. NCBI's taxonomy places the organism in Eukaryota, Metazoa, Chordata, Aves, Galliformes, Phasianidae.
ACAUGAGCAUAUAAACUUUCAUGAUGCUUCUAGAUAAUUCUAUAAGGGCUGGAGAACCUGCCAUACAAGGAAAAACUGAAGGAGUUAGAUUAUACCACCCUGAAGCACAAAAGACUUGGGGCCAUCUCACCACGGUAUUCUAGUACUUAAAGGAUGGAGACUCUCUCUUCACAGGGAACCAUAUGGAGAAGACAAACGUCUUGCUGACACUGAAGACCAGAGGAGGAAAAUAAAAUAAAAAGUCCCCAAGGAGACAGAACUUUGACUAGGAUAAAUCAAGCUCAACAAGGCUGUGUCAUCUUGGCAAUGGGGCCACACAAUGAUCUCAGUGACAACAGAAAGUUACGGCAAAGUAAUGUGAUUUCUACUGAGGAGUUCUGCUACAAGGACUAAAUGUCUCAAUGAGCAUGCAAGUGUGAAGAGUGUGAAGAGUCUGUGCAAGACUGUCUUUCACGACAACAAGGCCACCUUCUGAUAUGAGAAGUUUUGCUUGGAAGAACAUUUAUUUUGAAGUGAAAUUACUGAAGGUCUAUGUGAGUUAGAACAUUCAGUGAAUUAUAUUAGCAACUGACAAGUUAUAUUCAAAUUUCAUUUACUGUGUGGAAAAUUAUUUUGUGUUAACUCCACUAUUUAGUGGCAAGCCUGAUUAGAUUACAGAUUUCUUUCAUGGCUUUGUAAGGACAUGGUCAACCACCUACAAUUUUGUUUAGUUGUUUAUUGCCAACUGUUUUUUUUUUUCUGUCUGAUAAAUCUUUUUACAAAUAUUUAUGUGGUGACACCUAGUGGCUUUAAAUAAAAUGCUUCUUGUUGAUAGCC